GAGAGUUUGUUUGUGUAUGAAGCUUGCAAAUGGAGGAAAACCAGAUGCUGAUGACAUCAUGCUCUUCAAGGAUUAUAUCUAUCGGUUCCCCUUGCCUGCUGGCUUCCUCUUGGGCUUGGCCACUGGGAGGCACCAGUAGGAGAUCAGAGAUCAGGAAGUGAAUGAAGUCAGGGUCCUCAAAGGAAACAUAUAUGGUCAGUUAACAGAGGAAAAGAAAGUCCAGGCCUCUUUUAGACAUGAACCUACACAGUAUGCUGGAACCAUCUGGACAACUGUUGCACCCCAGCCCACUCUAGAGUGGCUUCAAAAGCAAAUGAUGAAGGGAUGCUCUCUAGUGGGCAGUACUCCACUACAGAUCUACCUGAGGAACAGACACAUAACAUGGAUGCGGAUUUGCCUCUUCUGCCUGCAGUAUUUCUACCAGUACCAUUAGUUUAUAGACCUACCAUUAGUUUAUAGUGCCUUAUCCAUUACCAUGGCAUUUCACAUGACACUGCUUCCA
Non-coding RNA from Microcebus murinus (gray mouse lemur), 502 nucleotides. Lineage: Eukaryota; Metazoa; Chordata; Mammalia; Primates; Cheirogaleidae. The record is from RefSeq and is a predicted model, not a curated record.